ACAAUAUUAAAACUCAAGGGCAUAUGGAGGAUGCCUUGACACCAAAAGGGGAAGAAGGACGUGGUGUAGCUGCGAAAAGCCUCGGGUAGGUGCGUAGCAACCUUUGAUCCGGGGAUAUCCGAAUGAGGAAACUCGAUGCGGCAAAACCGCAUCACCCUGUCGUAAGACAUGGACCGUACCCGCUGAAGUGAAACAUCUUAGUAAGCGGAGGAAAAAUAUACCGUAAAUAUAGUGUGCUUUGCACAUUGUACGUCGUUGAUUGCAAAUAGCUUGUCAUUUUUAUGAUUUGCUAUAUUUGCGAUAUGCGAUUUGCUGUGCAUAGCACACUGGUAUUCCCUUAGUAGCGGCGAGCGAAAAGGGAUUAGGACCCCUUAGGGGGUCCGUAGCCCAAAAUCUGCGAAUUGUUUACAAUACGCAGGUGGUAGUAGGACUAUUUUUUCGCGAGCGAAAUUUUAGAAAAAUAACUCUGGAAAGUGUAACCAAAGAGGGUAAAAGUCCCGUAUUUAAAAAAAUUGAACUCGUUAAAUAGUAUCCUGAGUAACUCGAGACACGACCACCUCGAGUGAAUCAUCCCGAACUAUCGGGAAAGGCUAAAUACUUUUGGUGAUCGAUAGUGAACUAGUACCGUGAGGGAAAGGUGAAAAGCAGCCCGGUUAGGGCGGUGAAAUAGAACCUGAAACCAUAUGCCUACAAGGAACAGGAGCCCCUCACUUGGUUUUAUGAAUUAUUUAAUUAUAGUUUUUUUUAAAGCUAAAAUUAUUUGUUCGUAGAUCCAAGUGAGGGGUGACUGUGUGCCUUUUGUAGAAUGAUCCAACGAGUUAUUUUAUACUGCAAACUAAGUCCUGAUAAGGAUGUAGUUACAGGGAAACCGAGUGUUAAUAGCGCGAACAUGAGUUUUUUUGAUAGGAAAAAUCCUAUCAAAAAAAUUCAAAUGUAGUAUGAAAUAGACCCGAAGCCAGGCGAUCUACCCAUGACCAGGGUGAACCCCGAGUAAUAUCGGGGGGAGGCCCGAACCCACUUCCGUUGCAAUAGAAGGGGAUGAGUCGUGGGUCGCAGUAAAAAGCUAAUCGAGCCUGGUAAUAGCUGGUUCUCUCCGAAAUAGCUUUAGGGCUAGCUUUCGGUUAUAGAUUUAUGAAGGUAGAGCACUAAUUGGUCUAUCAAGGCUUAUGCUGAGAUUGAUCAGAUAAACUCCGAAUUUCAUAAAUUGUUUCCGAAAAGUUAGAAUAUGGGGGCUAAGCUUCAUAUUCAAAAGGGAAACAGCCCAAAUCGCAGUCUAAGGUCCCCAAAUGCAAGCUCAGUGGGAAAGGAUGUGAAAUUUCUUGAACAGCUAGGAGGUUGGCUUAGAAGCAGCCAUCCUUUAAAAAGUGCGUAACAGCUUACUAGUCGAGAGAUUUUGUGCCUAAAAUUUAACGGGGCUUAAGCUUGCUACCGAAGACGCGGAUGCCACCGCAUCUCAUUUUGUUUGAUAUGAAAUUUAAAAUUUCUAAUUUUCAAUUUAAAAAUUGUUUAAAAAUUUUUUCAUAUCGAGCACAGCGAGAUGUGGUGGCGUGGUAGGAGAGCAUUUCUAUUGCGCUGAAGUUGCAUCGUAAGGUGUGAUGGAGCGAUAGGAAGAGAGAAUGUUGGAAUGAGUAACCACAAGUAGGAUGAGAGAUCCUACCGCCAAAAGCCUAAGGUUUCCUUGGCAAUGACAAUCAGCCAAGGGUUAGGCGGGCCUAACCCUGACUCCGAAAGGUGGCAGGGGAUGGACAGCCGGUUAAUAUUCCGGCCCUUCCUAUUUACAUGAUGGAGUGACGGAGACUAAUAAGGAGAGCAUAUUAUUGGAUUUGUGUUUCUAUUCUGGAGAGGUUCUUGGGAGAAAUGCCCAAGAGGCUUAAUUGCAACUUCAAUUGAAUGGAAAAAGUUUCGCUACGGCGAAGCUAUUCUCCCCAGCAGUCUUCCGAGAAAAACUUCUAAAGUUAAUAAAUAGGAACCCGUACUGCAAACCGACACAGGUGGGCAAGUAGAGUAUACUAAGGCGAACGAGUGAAUCUUCGUCAAGGAACUCGGCAAAUUAGCUAGGCGUAAGUUCGCAAUAUGCCUUCCCCGAUUAAAACCGGGGCGCAGCUAAAGUUUUCCUAGCGACUGUUUAUCAAAAACACAGGUCCCUGCGAACUCGUAAGAGUAUGUAUAGGGGCUGACGCCUGACCAAUGCUGGAAGGUUAAGAGUCGUUUGUUGUUCGAUUUAUCGUGCAGCUUGUGACUUAAGCCCCAGUGAAUGUCGGCCGUAACUAUAACGGUCCUAAGGUAGCGAAAUUCCUUGUCUGGUAACUUCAGACCCGCACGAAUGGCGUAACGACUGGGAAACUGUCUCGACGAAGAGCUCGGUGAAAAUGCAAUGAGGGUAAAGAUGCCCUCUACCCGCGGAAAGACGGAAAGACCCCGGGAGCUUUACUAUAGCUUUCUAUUGUUUUGGCGUUUUAGAUGCGUAGCGUAGUGGGGAGACUUUGAAGUUCCGCUUUUGGGCGGAAUGGAGUCAUCAAUGAAACACCCAUCUUUUGAAAUGCCAUAACUAACCUCGAUUUAAUAAAUCGAGAGACAGUGGAUGGUAGGUAGUUUAAGUGGGGCGCUUGCCUCCUAAACAGUAACGGAGGCGUUUAUUAAGGUCAGCUAGCUACGGAUGGAAAUCGUGGCGGUCGUGCAAAGGCAUAAGCUGGCUUAACUGCAAGGCAUAUUUGCCGCGCAGAUGCGAAAGCAGAACUUAGUGAACCGACCUUCUUUUAUAGAAGAGCGGAAGAUCAUCAGAUAAAAGCUACCCCGGGGAUAACAGGCUGGUCGCCUCCAAGAGUCCACAUCGACGAGGCGGUUCGGCACCUUUAUUAAACAUAUUGGGGUGCUACAACAGUAAUGUUGUACCUGUUUUUCAAGAAAAGCAUACUUGAAGAAAAAUAAAAAUUCGGCUUAUAACGGUGAACUCCGUAUAUAGACACUAUCGAAAGGUAGAAUGCAUAUACGGACAAUAUCGUGGGAAGUUCGACCUAAAGUGUCGAACCCCUUAGAGACUNNNNNNNNNNNGAAGGUUCUUCGAAAAAAUUCGAAGGACAACACGCCGACUCCUAUUACAAAAAGCGAGACUAUGGCCAAGAACACCUAAUGUCCGCAAUAGGAUGAAGAUAUAGUCCGAACCUCUUGGUAACAAGAGAAAAAUCGACAGCGAUGUCGGCUCAUCGUAUCCUGGGGCUGGAGCAGGUCCCAAGGGUUUGGCUGUUCGCCAAUUAAAACGGCACGCGAGCUGGGUUCAGACCGUCAACUUAAAACUGAACCAUUAAAAACAUCAAUAGCGGCGGCGCAGAGGAGUAAUUCUCUGUGGAAAAAUCGACUCAUAUCGGUGAAACCCAAUAUUGCUUUUACCUGGGUUAUAUUUGGGCAAUUCCGAGGGAAGUCCGAUUCUAUCGGACCCCGUAGAGACUUAUUCUUUUAAAGAAUAGAUGAGAACCAAUGUUUUCAUAAUACGUCGACUCCCCGAUGAUUAUCGGGGUGAUGGUAUAGUCCAUACCAUUGGUAACAAUGGAUUAAAUUGCGUAAGACAGGUUGGUCCCUAUCUUCCGUGGGCGCUUGAACUUUGAAGUGACUCAUUCGUAGUACGAGAGGACCCGAAUGAACGAACCUCUGGUGUACCAGUUGUCGCGCCAGCGGCAUAGCUGGGUAGCUAUGUUCGGAAGGGAUAAGCGCUGAAAGCAUAUAAGCGCGAAGCCCGCACUAAGAUUAGAGUUCUUAAAUUCCCGCUAGACUAGCGGGUUGAUAGGCUACAGGUGUAAGUGUGGUAACGCAUUAAGCCAAGUAGUACUAAUAAAUUAUUUUUUUGAAUA
RNAcentral lists this ribosomal RNA (3845 nucleotides) under Candidatus Spechtbacteria bacterium RIFCSPHIGHO2_01_FULL_38_11. RNAcentral describes it as "bacterial LSU rRNA". It matches the Rfam family "Bacterial large subunit ribosomal RNA". Lineage: Bacteria; Candidatus Spechtiibacteriota. The record is from RNAcentral.